This 229-nucleotide ribosomal RNA is filed under the name uncultured bacterium. RNAcentral's name for it is "partial 16S ribosomal RNA". It matches the Rfam family "Bacterial small subunit ribosomal RNA", at positions 91 to 334 of the family's 1533-position model. The record is from RNAcentral.
UAAAGUGGCGUACGGGUGAGUAACACGUGGAUCAUCUACCUCUUAGUGGGGAAUAACUUUGGGAAACCGAAGCUAAUACCGCAUAAGCCUGGAAAGGGAAAGUCGCAAGACGCUGAGAGAGGAGUCCGCGGCCGAUUAGCUAGUUGGCAGGGUAAAAGCCUACCAAGGCAUUGAUCGGUAGCCGGCCUGAGAGGGCACACGGCCACACUGGCACUGAAACACGGGCCAG